CCCGACUCCACGAAGCUGGAUUCGCUAGUAAUCGCGCAUCAGCCAUGGCGCGGUGAAUACGUUCCCGGGCCUUGUACACACCGCCCGUCAAGCCAUGAAAGCCGGGGGUGCCUGAAGUCCGUGACCGCGAGGGUCGGCCUAGGGUAAAACUGGUGAUUGGGGCUAAGUCGUAACAAGGUAGC
Molecule: ribosomal RNA, 182 nt
Filed under: uncultured bacterium
Lineage: Bacteria
Description: partial 16S ribosomal RNA
Rfam family: Bacterial small subunit ribosomal RNA
Source: RNAcentral